RNAcentral lists this ribosomal RNA (254 nucleotides) under uncultured bacterium. RNAcentral's name for it is "partial 16S ribosomal RNA". It matches the Rfam family "Bacterial small subunit ribosomal RNA", at positions 524 to 776 of the family's 1533-position model. The record is from RNAcentral.
UACCCGCAGCACAAGUGGUGGUCAUUAUUAUUGGGCGUAAAGAGCUCGUAGGCGGUGUGUCGCGUCGGCCGUGAAAACCUGGGGCUUAACUCUGGGCGUGCGGUCGAUACGGGCAUCACUGGAGUUCGGCAGGGGAGACUGGAAUUCCUGGUGUAGCGGUGAAAUGCGCAGAUAUCAGGAGGAACACCGGUGGCGAAGGCGGGUCUCUGGGCCGAUACUGACGCUGAGGAGCGAAAGCAUGGGUAGCGAACAGG